UAGGGAAUCUUCGGCAAUGGACGAAAGUCUGACCGAGCAACGCCGCGUGAGUGAAGAAGGUUUUCGGAUCGUAAAACUCUGUUGGUAUAGAAGAACGUUGGUGAGAGUGGAAAGCUCAUCAAGUGACGGUAACUACCCAGAAAGGGACGGCUAACUACGUGCCAA
RNAcentral lists this ribosomal RNA (165 nucleotides) under uncultured bacterium. Its description in RNAcentral is "partial 16S rRNA". It matches the Rfam family "Bacterial small subunit ribosomal RNA", at positions 355 to 511 of the family's 1533-position model. The record is from RNAcentral.